RNAcentral lists this ribosomal RNA (108 nucleotides) under Canis lupus familiaris (dog). Lineage: Eukaryota; Metazoa; Chordata; Mammalia; Carnivora; Canidae. The record is from RNAcentral. RNAcentral also lists the same sequence under 1 other name.
GUCUACGGCCAUACCACCCUGAACGCGCCCGAUCUCGUCUGAUCUCGGAAGCUAAGCAGGGUCGGGCCUGGUUAGUACUUGGAUGGGAGAAGACGAAUAUCGUCUCCA